AUCCUGUCUGAAUAUGGGGGGACCAUCCUCCAAGGCUAAAUACUACUGACUGACCGAUAGUGAACCAGUACCGUGAGGGAAAGGCGAAAAGAACCCCUGUGAGGGGAGUGAAAUAGAACCUGAAACCGUGUACGUACAAGCAGUAGGAGCAGGCUUUGUCCUGUGACUGCGUACCUUUUGUAUAAUGGGUCAGCGACUUAUAUUCAGUGGCAAGGUUAACCAUCUAGGGGAGCCGUAGGGAAACCGAGUCUUAACUGGGCGUUCAGUCUCUGGAUAUAGACCCGAAACCAGGUGAUCUAGCCAUGGGCAGGUUGAAGGUUGAGUAACAUCAACUGGAGGACCGAACCGACUAAUGUUGAAAAAUUAGCGGAUGACUUGUGGCUAGGGGUGAAAGGCCAAUCAAACCUGGAGAUAGCUGGUUCUCCCCGAAAGCUAUUUAGGUAGCGCCUCGGACGAAUACUACUGGGGGUAGAGCACUGUUAAGGCUAGGGGGUCAUCCCGACUUACCAACCCUUUGCAAACUCCGAAUACCAGUAAGUACUAUCCGGGAGACACACGGCGGGUGCUAACGUCCGUCGUGGAGAGGGAAACAACCCAGACCGCCAGCUAAGGUCCCAAAUUACUACUAAGUGGGAAACGAUGUGGGAAGGCUCAGACAGCCAGGAUGUUGGCUUAGAAGCAGCCAUCAUU
Molecule: ribosomal RNA, 690 nt
Filed under: Vibrio parahaemolyticus
Lineage: Bacteria; Pseudomonadati; Pseudomonadota; Gammaproteobacteria; Vibrionales; Vibrionaceae
Description: partial 23S ribosomal RNA
Rfam family: Bacterial large subunit ribosomal RNA
Source: RNAcentral